UACGGGGGGAGCAAGCGGUGUUCGGAUUUACUGGGCGGAAAGGGCGCGUAGGCGGCCACCGCAAGUCGACUGUGAAAUCUCCGGGCUUAACCCGGAAAGGUCAGCCGAUACUGCGGGGCUAGAGUGCAGAAGGGGCAACUGGAAUUCUCGGUGUAGCGGUGAAAUGCGUAGAUAUCGAGAGGAACACCUGCGGCGAAGGCGGGUUGCUGGGCUGACACUGACGCUGAGGCGCGAAAGCUAGGGGAGCAAACGGG
This 254-nucleotide ribosomal RNA is filed under the name uncultured bacterium. RNAcentral's name for it is "partial 16S ribosomal RNA". It matches the Rfam family "Bacterial small subunit ribosomal RNA", at positions 524 to 776 of the family's 1533-position model. The record is from RNAcentral.